CUGCCAGACUCCUACGGGAGGCAGCAGUGGGGGAUAUUGGACAAUGGGGGGAACCCUGAUCCAGCGAUGCCGCGUGAGGGAAGAAGGUUUUCGGAUUGUAAACCUCUGUGGACAGGGACGAUAAUGACGGUACCUGUCAAGAAAGCCACGGCUAACUACGUGCCAGCAGCCGCGGUAAUACGUAGGGGGCAAGCGUUAUCCGGAUUUACUGGGUGUAAAGGGAGCGUAGACGGCAGCGCAAGUCUGAAGUGAAAUCCCAUGGCUUAACCAUGGAACUGCUUUGGAAACUGUGCAGCUGGAGUGCAGGAGAGGUAAGCGGAAUUCCUAGUGUAGCGGUGAAAUGCGUAGAUAUUAGGAGGAACACCAGUGGCGAAGGCGGCUUACUGGACGGUAACUGACGUUGAGGCUCGAAAGCGUGGGGAGCAAACAGGAUUAGAUACCCUCGUAAUA
This 450-nucleotide ribosomal RNA is filed under the name uncultured bacterium. RNAcentral describes it as "bacterial SSU rRNA". It matches the Rfam family "Bacterial small subunit ribosomal RNA", at positions 328 to 795 of the family's 1533-position model. The record is from RNAcentral.